RNAcentral lists this ribosomal RNA (851 nucleotides) under uncultured bacterium. RNAcentral's name for it is "bacterial SSU rRNA". It matches the Rfam family "Bacterial small subunit ribosomal RNA", at positions 51 to 895 of the family's 1533-position model. The record is from RNAcentral.
CUACCUGCAGUCGAGCGGCAGCACGGGUACUUGUACCUGGUGGCGAGCGGCGGACGGGUGAGUAAUGCCUAGGAAUCUGCCUGGUAGUGGGGGAUAACGCUCGGAAACGGACGCUAAUACCGCAUACGUCCUACGGGAGAAAGCAGGGGACCUUCGGGCCUUGCGCUAUCAGAUGAGCCUAGGUCGGAUUAGCUAGUUGGUGAGGUAAUGGCUCACCAAGGCGACGAUCCGUAACUGGUCUGAGAGGAUGAUCAGUCACACUGGAACUGAGACACGGUCCAGACUCCUACGGGAGGCAGCAGUGGGGAAUAUUGGACAAUGGGCGAAAGCCUGAUCCAGCCAUGCCGCGUGUGUGAAGAAGGUCUUCGGAUUGUAAAGCACUUUAAGUUGGGAGGAAGGGCAGUUACCUAAUACGUGAUUGUUUUGACGUUACCGACAGAAUAAGCACCGGCUAACUCUGUGCCAGCAGCCGCGGUAAUACAGAGGGUGCAAGCGUUAAUCGGAAUUACUGGGCGUAAAGCGCGCGUAGGUGGUUUGUUAAGUUGAAUGUGAAAUCCCCGGGCUCAACCUGGGAACUGCAUCCAAAACUGGCAAGCUAGAGUAUGGUAGAGGGUGGUGGAAUUUCCUGUGUAGCGGUGAAAUGCGUAGAUAUAGGAAGGAACACCAGUGGCGAAGGCGACCACCUGGACUGAUACUGACACUGAGGUGCGAAAGCGUGGGGAGCAAGCAGGAUUAGAUACCCUGGUAGUCCACGCCGUAAACGAUGUCAACUAGCCGUUGGGAGCCUUGAGCUCUUAGUGGCGCAGCUAACGCAUUAAGUUGACCGCCUGGGGAGUACGGCCCCCAAGGUU